Molecule: ribosomal RNA, 362 nt
Filed under: Staphylococcus pseudintermedius
Lineage: Bacteria; Bacillati; Bacillota; Bacilli; Caryophanales; Staphylococcaceae
Description: bacterial SSU rRNA
Rfam family: Bacterial small subunit ribosomal RNA
Source: RNAcentral
GGUUCUACAGUGAAAGACGGUCUUGCUGUCACUUAUAGAUGGACCCGCGCCGUAUUAGCUAGUUGGUGGGGUAACGGCCUACCAAGGCGACGAUACGUAGCCGACCUGAGAGGGUGAUCGGCCACACUGGAACUGAGACACGGUCCAGACUCCUACGGGAGGCAGCAGUAGGGAAUCUUCCGCAAUGGGCGAAAGCCUGACGGAGCAACGCCGCGUGAGUGAUGAAGGUCUUCGGAUCGUAAAGCUCUGUUGUUAGGGAAGAACAAAUGUGUAAGUAACUGUGCACAUCUUGACGGUACCUAACCAGAAAGCCACGGCUAACUACGUGCCAGCAGCCGCGGUAAUACGUAGGUGGCAAGCGU